This 77-nucleotide transfer RNA is filed under the name Muribaculaceae bacterium. Its description in RNAcentral is "tRNA-His". It matches the Rfam family "tRNA". Rfam says of the family: Transfer RNA (tRNA) molecules are approximately 80 nucleotides in length. Their secondary structure includes four short double-helical elements and three loops (D, anti-codon, and T loops). Further hydrogen bonds mediate the characteristic L-shaped molecular structure. tRNAs have two regions of fundamental functional importance: the anti-codon, which is responsible for specific mRNA codon recognition, and the 3' end, to which the tRNAs corresponding amino acid is attached (by aminoacyl-tRNA synthetases). tRNAs cope with the degeneracy of the genetic code in two manners: having more than one tRNA (with a specific anti-codon) for a particular amino acid; and 'wobble' base-pairing, i.e. permitting non-standard base-pairing at the 3rd anti-codon position. The record is from RNAcentral. Lineage: Bacteria; Pseudomonadati; Bacteroidota; Bacteroidia; Bacteroidales; Muribaculaceae.
GUGCCCAUAGUUCAGCUGGUUAGAGCGUCGGAUUGUGGUUCCGAAGGUCGUGGGUUCGAAUCCCACUGGGCACCCCA